RNAcentral lists this ribosomal RNA (253 nucleotides) under uncultured prokaryote. RNAcentral describes it as "partial 16S ribosomal RNA". It matches the Rfam family "Bacterial small subunit ribosomal RNA", at positions 525 to 777 of the family's 1533-position model. The record is from RNAcentral.
ACGAAGGAUGCGAGCGUUAUCCGGAUUUAUUGGGUUUAAAGGGUGCGUAGGCGGCUUUGUAAGUCAGUGGUGAAAUAUGGCAGCUCAACUGUCAGGGUGCCAUUGAUACUGCAGAGCUUGAGUACAGAUGAGGUAGGCGGAAUUGACGGUGUAGCGGUGAAAUGCUUAGAUAUCGUCAAGAACACCGAUAGCGAAGGCAGCUUACUAGGCUGUAACUGACGCUGAGGCACGAAAGUGUGGGGAUCAAACAGGA